UUUAACAUCAACAUUUUCAUCAUUCACACAAUUCAAUCAAAUUUCAUAUGUUUAACAACAACAUUUUCAUUAUUCCAACAAUUCAAUCAAAUUUCAUGGGUUUAACAACAACAUUUUCAUUAUUCGCAAAAUUCAAUCAAAUUUCAUGGUUUUAACAAGAUUUUCAUCACUCACACAAUUCAAUUAAAUUUCAUGUGUUUAAGAACAACAACAUUUUCAUCAUUCAGACAACUCAAACAAAUUUCAUGGGUUUAACAACAACAACAUUUUCAUCAUUCACACAAUUCAAUUAAAUUUCAUGUGUUUAAGAACAACAACAUUUUCAUCAUUCAGACAACUCAAACAAAUUUCAUGGGUUCAACAACAACAACAUUUUCAAUAUUCACACAACUCUAUCAAAUUUCAUUGGUUUAACAUCAACAAUUUCAUCAUUCACAUAAUUCAAUCAAAGUUCAUGGGUUUAAGAACAACAUUUUUAUCGUUCACACAACUCAAUCAAAUUUCAUGGGUUUAACGACUAUAUUUUCAUCAUUCACAGAAUUCAAUCUAAUUCCAUGGAUUUAAAAGGAACAUUUUCAUCAUUCCCACAAUUCAAUCAAACUUCAUGGGUUUAACAUCAACAUUUUCAUCAUUCACACAAUUCAAUCAAAUUUCAUAUGUUUAACAACAACAUUUUCAUUAUUCCAACAAUUCAAUCAAAUUUCAUGGGUUUAACAACAUCAUUUUUAUCAUUCCCAUAAUUCAAUCAAAUCUUAUGGGUUUAACAAUAAUAUUUUCAUCAUUCACACAAUUCAAUCAAAUUUCAUGGGUUUAACAAUAACAUUUUCAUCAUUCACACAAUUCAAUCAAAUUUCAUGGGUUUAACAACAACAUUUUCAUCAUUCACACAAUUCAAUCAAAUUUCAUGGGUUUAACAACAACAUUUUCAUCAUUCACACAAUUCAAUCAAAUUUCAUGGGUUUAACAACAACAUUUUCAUCAUUCACACAAUUCAAUCAAAUUUCAUGGGUUUAACAACAACAUUUUCAUCAUUCACACAAUUCAAUCAAAUUUCAUGGGUUUAACAACAACAUUUUCAUCAUUCACACAAUUCAAUCAAAUUUCAUGGGUUUAACAACAACAUUUUCAUCAUUCACACAAUUCAAUCAAAUUUCAUGGGUUUAACAACAACAUUUUCAUCAUUCACACAAUUCAAUCAAAUUUCAUGGGUUUAACAACAACAUUUUCAUCAUUCACACAAUUCAAUCAAAUUUCAUGGGUUUAACAACAACAUUUUCAUCAUUCACACAAUUCAAUCAAAUUUCAUGGGUUUAACAACAACAUUUUCAUCAUUCACACAAUUCAAUCAAAUUUCAUGGGUUUAACAACAACAUUUUCAUCAUUCACACAAUUCAAUCAAAUUUCAUGGGUUUAACAACAACAUUUUCAUCAUUCACACAAUUCAAUCAAAUUUCAUGGGUUUAACAACAACAUUUUCAUCAUUCACACAAUUCAAUCAAAUUUCAUGGGUUUAACAACAACAUUUUCAUCAUUCACACAAUUCAAUCAAAUUUCAUGGGUUUAACAACAACAUUUUCAUCAUUCACACAAUUCAAUCAAAUUUCAUGGGUUUAACAACAACAUUUUCAUCAUUCACACAAUUCAAUCAAAUUUCAUGGGUUUAACAACAACAUUUUCAUCAUUCACACAAUUCAAUCAAAUUUCAUGGGUUUAACAACAACAUUUUCAUCAUUCACACAAUUCAAUCAAAUUUCAUGGGUUUAACAACAACAUUUUCAUCAUUCACACAAUUCAAUCAAAUUUCAUGGGUUUAACAACAACAUUUUCAUCAUUCACACAAUUCAAUCAAAUUUCAUGGGUUUAACAACAACAUUUUCAUCAUUCACACAAUUCAAUCAAAUUUCAUGGGUUUAACAACAACAUUUUCAUCAUUCACACAAUUCAAUCAAAUUUCAUGGGUUUAACAACAACAUUUUCAUCAUUCACACAAUUCAAUCAAAUUUCAUGGGUUUAACAACAACAUUUUCAUCAUUCACACAAUUCAAUCAAAUUUCAUGGGUUUAACAACAACAUUUUCAUCAUUCACACAAUUCAAUCAAAUUUCAUGGGUUUAACAUCAACAUUUUCAUCAUUCACACAAUUCAAUCAAAUUUCAUGGGUUUAACAACAACAUUUUCAUCAUUCACACAAUUCAAUCAAAUUUCAUGGGUUUAACAACAACAUUUUCAUCAUUCACACAAUUCAAUCAAAUUUCAUGGGUUUAACAACAACAUUUUCAUCAUUCACACAAUUCAAUCAAAUUUCAUGGGUUUAACAACAACAUUUUCAUCAUUCACACAAUUCAAUCAAAUUUCAUGGGUUUAACAACAACAUUUUCAUCAUUCACACAAUUCAAUCAAAUUUCAUGGGUUUAACAACAACAUUUUCAUCAUUCACACAAUUCAAUCAAAUUUCAUGGGUUUAACAACAACAUUUUCAUCAUUCACACAAUUCAAUCAAAUUUCAUGGGUUUAACAACAACAUUUUCAUCAUUCACACAAUUCAAUCAAAUUUCAUGGGUUUAACAACAACAUUUUCAUCAUUCACACAAUUCAAUCAAAUUUCAUGGGUUUAACAACAACAUUUUCAUCAUUCACACAAUUCAAUCAAAUUUCAUGGGUUUAACAACAACAUUUUCAUCAUUCACACAAUUCAAUCAAAUUUCAUGGGUUUAACAACAACAUUUUCAUCAUUCACACAAUUCAAUCAAAUUUCAUGGGUUUAACAACAACAUUUUCAUCAUUCACACAAUUCAAUCAAAUUUCAUGGGUUUAACAACAACAUUUUCAUCAUUCACACAAUUCAAUCAAAUUUCAUGGGUUUAACAACAACAUUUUCAUCAUUCACACAAUUCAAUCAAAUUUCAUGGGUUUAACAACAACAUUUUCAUCAUUCACACAAUUCAAUCAAAUUUCAUGGGUUUAACAACAACAUUUUCAUCAUUCACACAAUUCAAUCAAAUUUCAUGGGUUUAACAUCAACAUUUUCAUCAUUCACACAAUUCAAUCAAAUUUCAUGGGUUUAACAACAACAUUUUCAUCAUUCACACAAUUCAAUCAAAUUUCAUGGGUUUAACAUCAACAUUUUCAUCAUUCACACAAUUCAAUCAAAUUUCAUGGGUUUAACAACAACAUUUUCAUCAUUCACACAAUUCAAUCAAAUUUCAUGGGUUUAACAUCAACAUUUUCAUCAUUCACACAAUUCAAUCAAAUUUCAUGGGUUUAACAACAACAUUUUCAUCAUUCACACAAUUCAAUCAAAUUUCAUGGGUUUAACAUCAACAUUUUCAUCAUUCACACAAUUCAAUCAAAUUUCAUGGGUUUAACAACAACAUUUUCAUCAUUCACACAAUUCAAUCAAAUUUCAUGGGUUUAACAUCAACAUUUUCAUCAUUCACACAAUUCAAUCAAAUUUCAUGGGUUUAACAACAACAUUUUCAUCAUUCACACAAUUCAAUCAAAUUUCAUGGGUUUAACAACAACAUUUUCAUCAUUCACACAAUUCAAUCAAAUUUCAUGGGUUUAACAACAACAUUUUCAUCAUUCACACAAUUCAAUCAAAUUUCAUGGGUUUAACAACAACAUUUUCAUCAUUCACACAAUUCAAUCAAAUUUCAUGGGUUUAACAACAACAUUUUCAUCAUUCACACAAUUCAAUCAAAUUUCAUGGGUUUAACAACAACAUUUUCAUCAUUCACACAAUUCAAUCAAAUUUCAUGGGUUUAACAACAACAUUUUCAUCAUUCACACAAUUCAAUCAAAUUUCAUGGGUUUAACAACAACAUUUUCAUCAUUCACACAAUUCAAUCAAAUUUCAUGGGUUUAACAACAACAUUUUCAUCAUUCACACAAUUCAAUCAAAUUUCAUGGGUUUAACAACAACAUUUUCAUCAUUCACACAAUUCAAUCAAAUUUCAUGGGUUUAACAACAACAUUUUCAUCAUUCACACAAUUCAAUCAAAUUUCAUGGGUUUAACAACAACAUUUUCAUCAUUCACACAAUUCAAUCAAAUUUCAUGGGUUUAACAACAACAUUUUCAUCAUUCACACAAUUCAAUCAAAUUUCAUGGGUUUAACAACAACAUUUUCAUCAUUCACACAAUUCAAUCAAAUUUCAUGGGUUUAACAACAACAUUUUCAUCAUUCACACAAUUCAAUCAAAUUUCAUGGGUUUAACAACAACAUUUUCAUCAUUCACACAAUUCAAUCAAAUUUCAUGGGUUUAACAACAACAUUUUCAUCAUUCACACAAUUCAAUCAAAUUUCAUGGGUUUAACAACAACAUUUUCAUCAUUCACACAACUCAAUCAAAUUUCAUGGGUUUAACAACAACAACAUUUUCAUCAUUCACACAAUUCAAUCAAAUUUCCUGGGUUCAACAACAACAACAUUUUCAAUAUUCACACAAUUCUAUCAAAUUUCAUUGUUUUAACAUCAACAUUUUCAUCAUUCACACAAUUCAAUCAAAUUUCAUGGAUUUAACAACAAAUACAUUUUCAUCAUUCACACAAUUCAAUCAAAUUUCAUGGGUUUAAGAACAAUAUUUUUAUCGUUCACCCAACUCAAUCAAAUUUCAUGGGUUUAACGACUAUAUUUUCAUCAUUCACAGAAUUCAAACAAAUUCCAUGGAUUUAAAAAGAACAUUUUCAUCAUUCCCACAUAUCAAUCAAAUUUCAUGCGUUUAACAUCAACAUUUUCAUCAUUCAUACAAUUCAAUCAAAUUUCAUAUGUUUAACAACAACAUUUUCAUUAUUCCAACAAUUCAAUCAAAUUUCAUGGGUUUAACAACAACAUUUUCAUUAUUCACACAACUCAAUCAAAUUUCAUGGGUUUAAUAACAAUAUUUUCAUCAUUCACAGAAUUCAAUCAAAUUCCAUGGAUUUAAAAGGAACAUUUUCAUCAUUCCCACAAUUCAAUCAAAUUUCAUGGGUUUAACAUCAACAUUUUCAUCAUUCACACAAUUCAAUCAAAUUUCAUAUGUUUAACAACAACAUUUUCAUUAUUCCAACAAUUCAAUCAAAUUUCAUGGGUUUAACAACAACAUUUUCAUUAUUCACACAACUCAAUCAAAUUUCAUGGGUUUAAUAGAAUAUUUUCAUCAUUCCCAUAAUUCAAUCAAAUUUCAUGGGUUUAACAACUACAUUUUCAUUAUUCAGUCUAUUCAAUCAAAUUUCUUGGGUUUAAUAAUAACAACAUUUUCAUUAUUCACACAAUUCAAUCAAAUUUCUUGGGUUUAACAGCAACAUUUUCAUCAUUCACUUAAUUCAAGCAAAUUUCAUGGGAUUAACAACAACAUUUUAAUUAUUCCCACAAUUCAAUCAAAUUUCAUGGGUUGAACAACAACAUUUUCAUCAUUCACACAAUUUAAAUAAAUUUCAUGGGUUUAACAACAACAUUUUCAUCAUUCGCAAAAUUCAAUCAAAUUUCAUGGUUUUAACAAGAUUUUCAUCACUCACACAAUUCAAUUAAAUUUCAUGUGUUUAAGAACAACAAGAUUUUCAUCAUUCAGACAACUCAAACAAAUUUCAUGGGUUUAACAACAACAACAUUUUCAUCAUUCACACAAUUCAAUCAAAUUUCCUGGGUUUUAGAACAACAUUUUUAUCGUUCACACAACUCAAUCAAAUUUCAUGGGUUUAACGACUAUAUUUUCAUCAUUCACAGAAUUCAAUCAAAUUCCAUGGAUUUAAAAGGAACAUUUUCAUCAUUCCCACAAUUCAAUNNNNNNACAAUUCAAUCAAAUUUCUUGGGUUUAAUAAUAACAACAUUUUCAUUAUUCACACAAUUCAAUCAAAUUUCUUGGGUUUAACAGCAACAUUUUCAUCAUUCACUUAAUUCAAUCAAAUUUCAUGGGAUUAACAACAACAUAUUCAUUAUUCCCACAAUUCAAUCAAAUUUCAUGUGUUUAACAACAACAUUUUCAUCAUUCACACAAUUCAAUCAAAUUUCAUGGGUUUAAACAACAACAUUUUCAUCAAUUACACAAUUUAAUCAAAUUUCAUGGGUUUAACAACAACAUUUUCAUCAUUUGCAAAAUUCAAUUAAAUUUUAUUGUUUUAACAACAUUUUCAUCACUUACACAAUUCAAUUAAAUUUCAUGUGUUUAACAACAACAACAUUUUCAUCAUUCAGACAAUUCAAUCAAAUUUCAUAGGUUUAACAACAACAUUUUUAUCAUUCACAUAAUUCAAUCAAAUUCUGUCGGUUUAAAAAUAACAUUUUCUUCAUUUACAGAAUUCAAUUAAAUUUCACGGCUUUAACGACAACAUUUUUAUCAUUCAUACAAUUCAAUCAAAUUUUAUGAGUUUAACAACAACAUUUUCAUCAUUCACACAAUUCAAUCAAAUUUCAUGGGUUUAACAACAACAACANNNNNNNNNNNNNNNNNNNNNNNNAAUUAUUCCACAUUCAAUCAAAUUAUCAUGGCGGUUGAACAACAACAAUUUUCAUCAUUCACACAAUUUAAUCAAAUUUCAUGGGUUUAACAACAACAAUUUUCAUUCUAUUCAAAUUCAAAUUCAAAUUUCAUGGGUUCAACAAAAUUUCAUCAUCACACAAUCAUAAAUUCAUGUUUAACACAAAUUUUCAUUUCAUUCAGACAAUCAAACAUUUUAUGUUAACAAACAACAACAUUUUCAUCAUUCCACUAAUUCAAUCAAAUUUCGGGUUUUAGAAACAACAUUUUUAUCGUUCACACAACUCAAUCAAAUUCAUGGGUUAACGACUAUAUUUUCAUCAUCACAGAAUUCAUCAAAUUCCAUGGAUUUAAAAAGAACAUUUCAUCAUCCACAAUUCAAUCAAAUUUAUGGGUUUAACAUCAACAUUUCAUCAUUCACAAAUCUCAACUCAAUUCUAAGAUGUUUAACAAACAACAUUUUCAUUUAUUCCAACAAUUCAAUCAAUUUCAUGGUUUAACAACAACAUUUUCAUUAUUCCACAACAAAUCAAUGUUUAGGUUUAAUAGAAAUUUUCUCAUUCCAUAAUUCAAAUCAAAUUUCAUGGGUUAAACAAUACAUUUUCAUCAUUCGACCAUUCAAUCAAAUUUCAUGUUUUAAUAAUCAACAACAAAACAUUUUCUCAUUCACACAAUUCAAUCAAUUUCUUGGGUUUAUUUAACACCAACAUUUCAUCAUACUCUAAUUCAAAUCAAAUUUCAUUGGGUUUAACAAACGAUUUUCUAUCCACUCACACAAUUCAAUUAAUUUCAUGUGUUAAGACAACAACAUGUUCAUCUUGACAUACAAAUUCAGUUCACACACAUUCAAUUCAGCACAUUCAAUCAUCUGGGUUUCAACAACAACAUCAAUUAUUCAUCAAUCAUGUUACACAACAUCAUCUUCACAAAUUAAUGAAUUUUGGGUUAACAACAACAUUUUUCAUCAUCGCAAAAUCAAUUUAAAUUUUUAUAUGUUUUAACAACAUUUCAUCCAACUGACACAUUCAAUUAAAUUUCAUGGUUUCACAAAAAACAACAUUAUCAUCAAUUCAACAAUUCCAUCCAAAUUUUCAUGGGGUUUAAACAAUAAUUUCAUCAUUCAAACAAUAAAUCAUCAAAUUCUUUGGUUUAUAAAACAACCAUUUUCACUUAUUUAACUAUCAAUCAAUAUUCUUAGGUUUAAGCAGACAUUUAUCAUCUAAUUCAUAAAAUUCAUGAUAAGCAUUUCAUAUUCACAAUUCAAUCAAAUGUUUAUGAGUUAACAACAACAUUUCCAUCACUCAACAAUUCAAUCAAAUGUUCAUGGUUUUAACAAACAACAUUUUCAAUAUUCACACAAUUUAUCAAAAUUUCAUGGCUUUAAAACAACAUUUUCAUCCAUUCGCAAAUUCAAUAAAUUGUAUGUUUAACACAUUUUUCAAUCACUAACAAUAUCAUUAAUUUUGUGUUAACUAAACAACAUUAUCAUCAUCAGACAAUUCAUCAAAUUUCAUGGUGAGCUUAACAACAACCAGUUUAUCAUAUCACAUAAUUCAAUCAAAUUUUAUGUUUAAAAUAGCAUUUUCUUUCAUUUCGACAAACAAUUGUUUUUCAUUCCAUUCAAUUCAUCAAAUUUUAUGGCUUUAACAAUCAACAUUUUCAUAUUCACACAAUUCAUACCAAUUUCCCGGGGUUAACAACAACAACAUUUUCAUCAUUCACCAAUUCUAAUCAAUAGAUUUCUUGGCGUUCAACAACAAUAACAUUUUUCAAUUCACAUCAAUUCUAUCAAAUUUCUUGGUUUAACAGGCAACAUUUUCAUCAUUCACACAAUUUUCAAUCAAAAUUUCAUGACUUUGAACAACAUAAUCAUUUUCAUCAUUCACAUCAAUUCAAUCAAUAUCAAGUUUAUAAACAACUUUUUUAUCUGUUCACCAACUCAAUCAAAUUAGGUUAACACAAUAUUUUCAUCAUUCACCGAUUCAAUCCAAAAUUCCAGGAUUUUAAAGAAACAUUUUCAUCAUUCCCACACUCAAUUCAAAUUUCUGGUUUUAACAUCAUCGUUUUCAUCCUUCAUCACAAUUCAAUCAAAUUUCAUUGGUUUAACAAACAACAUUUUAUUAUUCCAACAUCAAGCAAUGUCAUUGGUUUAACAACAACGAUUUUCAUAUUCACACAACUCAAUCAAAUUUCGAUGGGUUUUAAUAGAACAUGUUCAUAAUUCCCAUAAUUCAUAAUUUCAUGGUUUAACAACUACAUUCAUCAUUCAGAGCAAUCAAUCAAAUUUCAUGGGUUUAAAGACAAAACCAAUUUCGAUUUUCCCAUUACAAUUCAAUCAAAUUCUGGUUUAAAAUACAACUUUUCAUCAUUCAAAUUCAUCAAAUUUCAUGGUUUUUAACAUAAUAUUUUCAUUAUCCCGCAAUUCAACUCAAAUUCAUGGGUUAGAACAACACAUUUUCAUCAUUCACACACUUCAAAUCAAAUAUUCAUGGUUUGAACAAAAAACCAUUUCAUCCAUUCAAACUGUCAAUCAAAUUUAUGGGUUACAAAUUUCACACUAAUUUCAAUUUAAGUUUCUGUUACAAACAACAUUCUCAUCAAAAUUUACAUUUAGGGUUUAACGAACACAUUUAUCCUCGACCAUUACAAUCAAUUCAAUGUGUUUUAAGACAAUUUAUUAUCUUCCACGAACUCAAUCAAAUUCCAUGGCGGAUACAGAUAUAUUUUCACUCAUUCACAGAAUUCAAUUCAAUUCCAUGGAUUAAAAGGAACAUUUUUCAUCAUAUUCCCAUCAAUUCCAAUCAAACUAGGGUUUAACUAUCAAUCAUUUUCAUCAUUAAACAAAUUUCAAUCAAAAUUUCAUAUUGUUAACAACCAAACAUUUUCUUAUUUCAAACAAUUCAAUCAAUUUCAUGGGUUUAACAAUAACAUUUUCAUUGUCACACAACUCAGAUCAAAUCAUGGGUUUAUAGAAGAUGUCAUUCAUUCAACAAAUUCAAUCAAAUUCUGGUUCACACAACAACAUUUUCAUAAGUCAGCACAAUUCUAGUCAAUUUCAUUCGGCUUAACAUCACCAUUUUCAUCAGUUCACACAAUUCAAUCAAAUUUCAUGGAAUUUAACAACAACAACAUUUCAAUCAUUCACAUAUUCAACAAAGUUCAUGUUUAAGAACAACAUUUUCUAUCGUUUCACACCAACUCAAUCAAUUUCAUGGGGUUACACGACAAUUUUUCAUCAUUCACAGAUUCACAUCAAUUCCAUGGAUUAAAUAGGAACAGUUUUUCAUCAUUCCCCACCAAUUCAAAUUCAAAUUCAUGGAUUUAACAUCACAGUAUUCGAUCAUUCACUCGAAUUAAUCAAUCUAUGUCACAUUUAUGAUUCAUCACAAUCAAUCAGAAAUGUUCAAACAACUUCGAUGUCACAACAACUCAUAUCAAUUCAGGGUUUUUUAAUAUGAGAUUUUCUCCAGAGAUUCAAUCAGAAUUUCAUUUAUGUAACAACUACAUUUUCUUAUUCCAAGGCAAAUUAAUCAAAUUUAUGAGUUUAUAAGACCAACAUUAGUCUUAUUCACACAAUCAAUCAAAUUCAUCGGGUUAAAGCACAUUUCUGUCAUUACUUUGAUAUUCAAUCAAAUUUUCAGAGGGAUUUAACAACUACAUUUCAUUCAUCCGACAAUUCAAUCAAAUUUCAGCGUUAACAACAACAGUUCAUCAUUCACACUAAUUUAACAAAUUGCAGAGGAUUAAGAACAACAACUUUCAUAUUCGCAAAAUUCAAAUCAAAUUCAUGGUUUAACAAGAUUUUCAUCACUCACACAAUUCAAUUAAAUUCUCAUGGUUUAGAACAACAACAAUUUAUCAAUUCAGGACAAACGCAAAAAAUUUCAUGGGUUUAAAACAACAACAUUUUCAUCAUUCACACCAAUCAUCAAAUUCCUCGGUUCAACACCAACAACAUUUUCGAAUAUUCACACAACUCUAUCAAAUUUCAUGGUUUAAAUCACACAUUUCAUCACUACACAAUUCAAUCAAAUUUCAUGGGUUUAAGAACAACUUUUUAUCUUUCACAGCAACUCAAUCAAAUUUCAUGGGUUUAACGACUAUUUUAUCAUUCUCACAGAAUUCAAUCAAUUCCAUUGGAUUUAAAGGAACUUUCAUCAUUCCCAAUUCAAUCAAAUUCAUGGGUUUACAUCAACAUUUUCAUCAUUCACACAAUUCAAUCAAAAUUUCAUAUGUUUAACAACACAUUUUCAUUAUUCCAACAAUUCAAUCAAAUUUCAUGUUAACAUAACUUUCAUUAUCACACAACUCAUCAAUUUCAUGUUUAAUAGAAGUUUCAUCUUCCCAAUUCAAAAAUUCAUGGGUUUAACAAAACAACAUUUUCAUAUUCACACACAAUCAAAUUUCAUGGGUUACCAUAACAUUUUCAUCAUUCACACAAUUCAAUCAAAUUCUAUGGUUUAACAACAACAUUUUCAUCAUUCACUAAUUCAAUCAAAUUUCAUGGUUUUACAUCAACAUUUUUAUUCACACAUUCAAUCAAAUUUCAUGGGUUUAACAACUUAUUUUCAUCAUUCACAAUUCAAUCAAAUCAUGUUUACAACAACAUUUUCAUCAUUCACACAAUCAAUCAAAUUUCAUGGAUUUCAACCAACAUUUUCAUCAUUUCACGAAUUCAAUCAAAUUCAUAGAUUAAAGAAAGGAACAUUUUCUCAUUCCAAAAUCAAUCAAAUUCAUGGGUUAACAUCAACAUUUUCAUCAUUCACACAAUUCAAUCAAUAUUUCAUAUGUUAACAACUAACUUCAUUAUUCCAACAAUUCAAAUCAAAUUUUCAUGAGGUUUAACAACACAUUUUCAUUUAUUCACACUCAAUCAAUUUCAUGGGUUUAAUCGAACAUUUUCAUCAUUCCCAUAAUUCAAUCAAAUUUCAUGGGUUUAUUAAUACAAUUUUCAUCAUUCGACAUUCAAUUCAAAUUUUCAUGGGGUUUAAGACAACAACUUAUCAUAUUCACCAUAUUCAAUCAAAUUUCAUGGGUUUAACAAACACAUUUUAUCAUUAACAAUCAAUUCAUUUAACAAGAACAUUGAUCAUUCAGAAUCAAAUUUCAUGUUUUAACCAGAUUUUAAUCAUCACACAAUUCAAUUAAAUUUCAUGUUUUAAGAACAAACAUUUUUCAUAUUCAGGAAACUCAAACAAUUUCAUGGGUAACAACAACAACAUUUUCAUCAUUCACACAAUUCAAUCAAAUUUCCUUGGUUCAACAACAACAACUUUUCAAUUUCACCACAAUCAACAAAUUUCAUGGUUUAACAUCAACAUUUUCAUCAUUCACACAAUUUCAAUCAAUUUCAGAUGAAUGUAACCAAACAAGCAAUUUCAGUCAUCACAUAUUCAUCAGAAAGUUCUGGGUUGAUAGAGAAACCAUUUUAUCGUUUCACCACACUCAUAAUUUCAUGGUGUUAACGACUAUAUUUCUCAUUCACGGGAAUUCAUCAAAUUCCAUGAUUUAAAGAAACAUUUCCUUUCAUUCCCACAUUCAUGCAAUUUCAUGGAUAUUACAUGAACGUUUCAUCAUUCACAGAAUUCAGUCAAUUCCAUGGAUUUUAAAAAAGACAUUUUUCGUUUACAACAUAUCAACAAUAUAUCAGGGUAACAUCAACAUUUUCAUCAUUCACACAAUUCGAAUCAAAUUUCAAUAUGUUAACAACAACAUUUUCAUUAUAUCCAACAAUUCAAUCAAAUUCAUGAGUUUAAAACAACAUUUUCAUUAUCCCAACAACUCUCAACAAUCAAAUUUCAUGGGUUUAAUAGAACAUUUUCAUCAUUCCCAUAAUUCAAUCAAAUUUCAUGGGUUUAACAACUACAUUUUCAUCAUUCAGACAAUUCAAUCAAAUUUCAUGGGUUUAAAGACAAUUCCAAUUUCAUUAUUCCCAUAAUUCAAUCAAAUUUCAUGGGUUUAACAACAACAUUUUUAUCAUUCACAUAAUUCAAUGAAAUUCUAUCGGUUUAAAAAUAACAUUUUCAUCAUUCACACAAUUCAAUCAAAUUUUAUGAGUUUAACAACAACAUUUUCAUCAUUCACACAAUUCAAUAAAAUUUCAUGGGUUUAAGAAAAACAUUUUUAUCAUUCACACAACUCAAUCAAAUUUCAUGGGUUUAACGACAAUAUUUUCAUCAUUCAAAGAAUUCAAUCAAAUUCCAUGGAUUUAACAGGAACAUUUUCAUCAUUCCCACAAUUCAAUCAAAUUUAAUGGGUUUAACAUCUACAUUUUCAUCAUUUACACAAUUCAAUCAAAUUUCAUAUGAUUAACAACAACAUUUUCAUUAUUCCAACAUUUCAAUCAAAUUUCAUGGGUUUAACAACAAUAUUUUCAUUAUUCACACAACUCAAUCAAACUUCAAGGGUUUAAUAGAACAUUUUCAUCAUUCCCAUAAUUCAAUCAAAUUUCAUGGGUUUAACAACAACAUUUUUAUCAUUCACAUAAUUCAAUCAAAUUCUAUCGGUUUAAAAAUACCAUUUUCAUGAUUUACAGAAUUCAAUCAAAUUUCACUGCUUUAACGACAACAUUUUUAUCAUUCAUACAAUUCAAUCAAAUUUUAUGAGUUUAACAACAUUUUCAUCAUUCACACAAUUCAAUCAAAUUUCAUGGGUUUAACAACAACAACAUUUUCAUCAUUCACACAAUUCAAUCAAAUUUCCUGGGUUUAAUAAUAACAACAUUUUCAUCAUCAUUCACACAAUUCAAUCAAAUUUCAUGGGUUUAACAACAACAACAUUUUCAUCAUUCACACAAUUCAAUCAAAUUUCCUGGGUUUAAUAAUAACAACAUUUUCAUCAUUCACACAACUCAAUCAAAUUUCCUGGGUUUAAUAAUAACAACAUUUUCAAUAUUCACACAAUUCUAUCAAAUUUCAUUGGUUUAGCAUCAACAUUUUCAUCAUUCACACAAUUCAAUCAAAUUUCAUGAAUUUAACAACAACAACAUUUUCAUCAUUCACAUGAUUGAAUCAAAUUUCAUGGGUUUAAGAACAACAUGUUUAUCGUUCACACAACUCAAUCAAAUUUCAUGGGUUUAACGACAAUAUUUUCAUCAUUCACAGAAUUCAAUCAAAUUCCAUGGAUUUAAAAGGAACAUUUUUAUCAUUCCCACAAUUCAAUCAAAUUUCAUGGGUUUAACAUCAACAUUUUCAUCAUUCACACAAUUCAAUCAAAUUUCAUUCGUUUAACAACAACAUUUUCAUUAUUCCAACAAUUCAAUCAAAUUUCAUGGGUUUAACAACAUCAUUUUCAUUAUUCACACAACUCAAUCAAAUUUCAUGGGUUUAAUGGAACAUUUUCAUCAUUCCCAUAAUUCAAUCAAAUUUCAUGGGUUUAAACAACUACAUUUUCAACAUUCAGACAAUUCAAUCAAAUUUCUUGGGUUUAAUAAUAACAACAUUUUCAUUAUUCACACAAACAAUUUCAAGUCAAAUUUCUUGGUUUAACAGCAACAUUUUCAAUUCAUAUCACUUAAUUCAUCAAAUUUCAUGGGAUUAACAACAACAUUUUCAUAUCCCUAGACAAUUCAAAUCAAAUUCAUGUGUUUAAAGCACAACAAUUAUUCAUCAUUCACAAACAAAUUCAAUCAAAAUUCUCAUGGGUUUAAGACAACAACAUUUUCAUCAUUCACAAUUAUAAUCAAAAUUUCAGGUUUAACAACAACAUUUUCAUCAUUCCAAAAUCAUUAAAUUUUAUGGUUUUUAACAACAUUUUCAUCACUUUGCACAUUUCAAUUAAAUUCAUUGUUUAACAAAAAAAACAUUUUCAAUCAUUCAGACAAUUCAACUCAAUUUCAUGGUUUAACAACAACAAUUUUAUCAUUCCAUAAUUUCAAUCAAAUUCUGUCCGGUUUAAAAUACAUUUUUUCAUUUACAAAUUCAAUCAAACUUUUCCACCUUUAACGACAACGAUUUUAUCAUCUUCAUGACAAUUAAUCAAUUUUAUGGUAUUAACCACAACAUUUUCAUCAUUCACACAAUUCAAAAUAAUAUUCAUGGGUUUACAACAACAACAUUUCUUAUCAUUCAACAAUUCAAUCAACUUCAUGGGUUUAAAGAUUCAUCAUACAAUUAUUAUUCAUGUGUUCCACAAUUAUUCACAUAUAGCAUAAUUCAUUUAGUUUAACACGAACAUUUUCAUUAUUCCAACAAUUCAAUCAAAUUUCAUGGGUUAACAACAACAAUUUUCAAUUAUUCACACAACUAAUCAAAUUUCAUGGGUUUAAUAGAACAUUUUCAUCCAUUCCCAUAAUUCAAUCAAAUUUCAUGGGUUUAAACAACUACAUUUUCAACAUUCAGACAUUCAAUCAAAUUUCUUGGUUUAAUAAUAACAACAUUUUCAUUAUUCACACAUUCAAUCACAUUUCCUUGGGUUUAACAAACAUUUUCAAUCCAUUCACUUAAAUUCAAUCAAAUUUCAUGGUUAACAACAACAUUUUCAUUAUUCCCAACAAUUCAAUAAAUUUCUGUUUUAACAACUUUUCAUCAUUCACAAUUCAAUCAAAUUUUGUGUUUAACAAACAACAUUUUCAUUUCAGCAAAUUCCAAUCAAAUUUCAUGGGUUAACAAAACAAAUUUUAAUCAUUCACAACAAUCAAUCAAAUUCUUCGGGUUAACAAUAACAUUUUCAUCAUUUAAAAUUCAAUCAAUUUCAUCAGGCUUUAAAACGACAACAUUUUUAUCAUUCAUACAUUCAAUCAAAUUUAUGAGUUUAACAACAACAUUUUCAUCAUUCACACACAUUCAAUCAAAAUUUCAUGGGUUUAACAACAACAACAUUUUCAUCAUUCACACACAUUAUCAAUUUAAUUGGGUUCACAACAAAACAUUUUCAUUCACACAAUUCUAUCAAAUUUCAUUGGUUUAACAUCAACAUUUUCAUCAUUCACACAAUUCAAUCAAAUUUAUGGAUUUAACAACAAUAACAUAUUCAUCCAUUACAACAAUUCAAUCAAAUUUCAUGGGUUUACAAGAACAAUAUUUAAUUACGUUCACCCAACCAAUCAAUUUCAACGGGUUUAACGACAAUAUUUUCAUCAUUCACAGAAUUCAAUCAAAUUUCCUGGUUUUAAACGACAUUUUCAUCAUUCAACAAUUCAAUCAAAUUUCAUGGGUUUAACAAACAACAUUUUCUCAUUAACAUAGAUUCAAUCAAAUCUGCAUGGUUACUACAACAUCUUUUCAUUAUUUCCACAAUUCUAAUGCAAAUUUCUUGGGUUAACACCAACAUUUCUCAUUCAUACCACAAUCAUCAAAUAUCAUGGGUUUAAAUAAACAAAUUUUCAUCAUUACCCAUCUAAUUCAUAAUUUCAUGGGUUUCAAACACAUUUUUCAUCAUUCACACAACUCAAUCAAUUCAUGGGUUUAUAAUAAAACUUAUUUCAUAUUCACGACAAUUCAUCAAAUUCAUUGGUUUAAAAAACAUUUUAUCAUUCACUUAAUUCAAUCAAAUUUCAUGCGGUUAAGCACUCACAAUCACUUCAUCAUUCAUUGUUCCCACAUAUUCAAAAUCAUCAAUUUCAUGGGUUUUAACAACGAAUUUUUGGGCAUUAUUCACACAAUAUAUAAUAUUUCAAUGGUUUAAAAGCAUUUUCAACAUGCAAAUUCAAUCCAAUUUUAUGGUUUUACGGAACACUUUUAUGCACUUACAGAAUUCAAUUAAAUUUCAUAUUUAACAACAACAACAUUUUCAUACAUUCACACAAUUCACAUCAAUUCAUGGUUUAAGAACAAUAUUCUAUCAUUCACGUGGGUGGGGCAUCUGGAAACCAAUCAAAUUUCAUGUGUUUUCUAACGACAAUUUUUUUCAUCAUUCAAGAAUUCAUCAAAUUCCAACUGGAUUUAAAAGAACAUUUUCAAUCAUUCCCCACCAAUUCAUCACCAUUUCAUGGGUUUACAUCAACCGUUUUCAUCAUUCACACAAUUCAAUAAAUUUCAAUUUGUUUACUAACAACAAAUUUUAUUAUUCCAACAAUUCAAAUCCAAUUUCAUGGUUUAACGAACAUUUUCUUAUUCAGCAUAAUCAAUCAAUUAUCAUGGGUUGGAAAUAGAAAUUUUCAUCAUUACCCGAUAAUUCAAUCCAUUUCAAAUGGGUUUAAACACUACAUUUUCAACAUUCAGACAAUAUCAAUCAAAUUUCUUAGGUUUAAAUACCAACAUUUUAUCAUUCACUUAAUUCAGUCAAAUUCAUGGUUAAUAACAACAUUUUCAUUAUUCCCGACAAUUCAAGUCAAAUUUCAUCCAUGGGGUUUAAUCACACACAACAUUUUUAUCAUCUCACACAAUUUAAUCAAAUUUUCAUGGUUAACAACACCGAUUUCAUCAUUCCGAAAAUUCCAAUAGCAAGAUUUUAAUGGUUUGUACACAUUGUUCAUCACUUACAACAAUUCAAUUAAAUUUCAUGGGUGUUAACAACAACAAUUUUCAUCAUUCAAACACUAAUAUCAACUAAAUUUCAUGGGUUUAACCAACACAUUUUUAUCAUGUCACUAACAAUUUAAUCAAAAUUCAUGGGUACAAAAUAUACAUUUUUUCAUUUACCAAAGAAUUUCAAUCAAAUUUAGGCUUAACGAACAUUUUCUCUACUCAUCAGACAAUCUCAAUUAAAUUUAAUGUAUUUACACAAACAACAUUUUCAUCAUUCACACAAUUCAAUCAAAUUUCAUGGGUUUAACAACAAACACAUUUUAUUCAUUCACACAAUUCAAUCAAAUUUCCUGGGUUCAAACAACAACAACAUUUUCAAUAUUCCACACAAUUCUAUCAAAUUUCAUUGGUUUAACAUCAACAUUUUCAUCAUUCACCACAAUUCAAUCAAAUUUCAUGAAUUUAACAACAACAACAAUUUCAUCAUUCACAAAUUCAAUCAAAUUCAUGGGUUUAAGAAAACAUUUUAUCGUUCACACAACUAAUCAAAUUCAUGUGUUUAACGACAAUAUUUUUCAUCAUUCACAGAAUUCAAUCAAAUUCAUGGAUUUAAAAGGAAUUUUUUCAUCAUUCCCAUUCAUCAAAUUUCAUGGGUAAAUCAACUUUUCAUCAUUCACACAAUUCAAUCAAAUUUCAUUUGUUUAAAACACAUUUUUUUUUCAUUAUCCAACAAUUCAAUCAAAUUCAUGGUUAACAACAACAUUUUCAUUAUUCCACAACUCAAUCAAAUUUCAUGGGUUUAAAUAGAAAUUUCAUCAUUCCAUAAUUCAAUCAAUUUCAUGGGUUUAAACAAACUACAUUUUCAUUUCAGACAAUUAAUCAAAUUUCUGGGUUUAUAAUAACAAUUUUCAUAUUCACACAAUUCAAUCAAUUUCUUGGGUUUAACAGCAACAUUUUCAUACAUUCACUUAAUUCAAUCAAAUUCAUGGAUUAAAACAACAUUUCAUUAUUCCACAAUUCAAAUCAAAUUUCAUGGUGUUUAACAACAACAUUUUCAUCAUUCACAAUCAUCACACAUUCAAUCAAAUUUCAUGGUAAACAACAACAUUUUCAUCAUUCACACAAUUUAUAAUCAAAUUUCAUGGGUUUAACAACAACAUUUCUCAUUGCAAAUUCAAUAAAUUUAUGUUUUAACAAAUUUUCAUCACUUCACACAAUUAAUUAAAUUUCAAGUGUUUAACAACAACAAUUUUCCAUCAUUCACACAAUUCAAUCAAAUUUCAUGGUUUAACAACAACAUUUUAUCAUUCACAAUUCAAUCAAUUCUAUGGUUUAAAAUAACAUUUUCUUCAUUUAAUCAGAAUUCAAUAAUUUCACGGCUUUAACGAAAAACAUUUUUAUUCAUUCAUGACAAUUCAAUCAAAUUUUAUGAGUUUAACAACAACAUUUUCAUCAUUCACACAAUUCAAUCAAAUUUCAUGGGUUUAACAACAACAACAUUUUUUAUUCACACAAUUCAAUCAAAUUCUGGGUUAACAACACAAACAUUUUCAUUAUUCACACAAUUCUAUCAAUUUCAUUGGUUUAACAUCAACAUUUUCAUCAUUCACACAAUUCAAUCAAAUUUCAUGAUUAACAACAAAACAUUUUCAUAUUCACACAAUUCAAUCAAAUUUCAUGGGUUUAAGAACAAUAUUUUUAUCGUUCACACCAACUCAAUCAAAUUUCAUGGGUUUAACGACAAUUUUUCAUCAUUCACAGAAUUCAAUCAAAUUCCAUGGAUUUAAAGGAACAUUUUCAUCAUUCCCACAAUUCAAUCAAAUUUCAUGGGUUUAACAUCAACAUUUUCAUCAUUCACACAAUUACUCAAAUUCUAUGUUUACAACAACAUUUCAUUAUUCCAACAAUUCAAUCAAAUUUAUGGUUUAAACACAACAUUUUCAUUAUUCACACACUCAAUCAAAUUUCAUGGGUUUAAAUAGAACUUUUUCAUCAUUCCAUAAUUAUCAAAUUUCAUGGGUUUAACAACUACAUUUUCAUCAUUCAGACAAUUCAAUCAAAUUUCAUGGUUUAAUAAUAACAACAUUUUCAUAUUCACACAAUUCAAUCAAAUUUCUUGGUUUAAACGCAACAUUUUCAUCAUUCACUUAAUUCAAUCAAAUUUCAUGGAUUAAACACAACAUUUUCAUAUUCCCACAUUCAAUCAAAUUUCAUGGUUUAACAACAACAUUUUCAUCAUUCACACAAUUUAAUCAAAUUCAUGGGUUUAACAACACAUUUUCAUCAUUCGAAAAUUCAAUCAAAUUUCAUGGUUUUUAACAACAAUUUUCAUCACUUACACAAUUCAAUUAAAUUUCAUGGUUUUAACACAACAACAUUUUCACAUUCACACAAUUCAAUAAAUUUCAUGGGUUAACAACACAUUUUUAUCAUUCACAUAAUCUCUCAAAUCUGUGGUUUAAAUCAACAUUUUCAUUCAUUACAUGAAUCAAUCAAAUUCAGCUUUAACAGACAACAUUUUAUCAUUCAUACANNNNNNNNNNNNNNNNNNNNNNNNNGGUUUAAUAAUAACAACAUUUUCAAUUCACACAAUUCAAUCAAAUUUCAUGGUUUAACAACAACAUUUUUAUCAUUCACAUAUUCAAUCAAAUUCUAACGGUUUAAAUAACCUUUUCAUCAUUUACAGAAUUCAAUAAAAUUUCAUGCUUUUAACAAAACAUUUUCAUCAUUCACUUAAUUCAAUCAAAUUUCAUGGGAUUAACAACAACAUUUUCAUUAUUCCCACAAUUCAAUCAAAUUUCAUGGGUUUAACAACAACAUUUUUAUCAUUCACACAAUUUAAUCCAAUUUCAUGGGUUUAACAACAACAUUUUCAUCAUUCGCAAAAUUCAAUCAAAUUUUAUGGUUUUAACAACAUUUUCAUCACUUACAGAAUUCAAUUAAAUUUCAUGAAUUUAACAACAACAACAUUUUCAUCAUUCACACAAUUCAAUCAAAUUUCAUGGGUUUAAGAACAAUAUGUUUAUCAUUCACACAACUCAAUCAAAUUUCAUGUGUUUAACGACAAUUUUUUCAUCAUUCACAGAAUUCAAUCAAAUUCCAUGGAUUUAAAAGAAACAUUUUCAUCAUUCCCCCAAUUCAAUCAAAUUUCAUGGGUUUAACAUCAACGUUUUCAUCAUUCACACAAUUCAAUAAAAUUUCAUUUGUUUAACAACAACAUUUUCAUUAUUCCAACAAUUCAAUCAAAUUUCAUGGGUUUAACAACAACAUUUUCAUUAUUCACAUAACUCAAUCAAAUUUCAUGGGUUUAAUAGAACAUUUUCAUCAUUCCCAUAAUUCAAUCAAAUUUCAUGGGUUUAAACAACUACAUUUUCAACAUUCAGACAAUUCAAUCAAAUUUCUUAGGUUUAAUACCAACAUUUUCAUCAUUCACUUAAUUCAAUCAAAUUUCAUGGGAUUAAUAACAACAUUUUCAUUAUUCCCACAAUUCAAUCAAAUUUCAUGGGUUUAACAACAACAUUUUUAUCAUUCACACAAUUUAAUCAAAUUUCAUGGGUUUAAUGAAGAUUUCUCAUCAGUUCCCAUAAUUCAUCAAAUUUCAUGGGUUUUAUCAACUACAUUUUCAUAUUCAGAAAUUCAUCAAAUUUCAUGGUUUUUAGAGCUAAUAAACAUUUUCAAUUAAUUCGCACAAUCAAUCACAUCUUUGGGUUUAACGAGAGCAACAGUAAUCAUCACUUAAUCAAUAAAUUUCAUGGGAUGUUAACAACAAAAUUUCAUUAUUCCCACAAUUCAAUCAAUUCAUGUGUUUAACGAACAAUAUUUUCAAUCAAUGACAUCAAUUUAAUCAAAUUUCAUGGUUAACAACAAACAUUUUGUAUCAUGCAAAAUUCACAUCAAGUUUUUAAUGGUUUUUUACAACAUUUCAUCCUACGACAGAUCAAUUUAAAUUUCAUGUGUUUAACAACACAAACAAAUUUUCCUCAUCACACGAAUCAAGAUUUCGAAUUUCCAUGGGUUUUAACAACAACAUUUUUUAUUAACAUAAUUCAUUCAAAAUUCUAUCGGUUUAAAAUAACAUUUUCAUCAUUUAACAGAAUUCAAUCAAAUUCUCACGGCUUUAACGACAACAUUUUUAUGCAUUCAUACAAUUCAAUCAAAUUUUAAUGAGUUUAACAACAAGUUUCAUAUUCACACAUGUCAGUCAAAAUUUAGGGGUUAACAGAACAACAAUUUUCAAUCGAUUCACACAAUUCAUCAAAAUUUCCUAGGUUUCAACACAACAACAUUUUCAAUAUGUCACAACCAUUCAUAUCAAAUUCAUUGUUUUAGGCAUCAAACAUUAUCAUCAAUCACCAAUUCAGUCAAAAUUUCAUGCAAUUUACAAGCAACAUUUUCAUUCAUUCACCCAUAAUUCAAUCCAAUUUCAUGGUUUAAGACGAACAUUUUUCUGUUCACACAAUCAAUCAAAUUCAAUGGGUUUAACGACGAAUAUUUUCAUCAAUUCCAGAAUUCAAUCAAAUCCAUGGAUUAAAAGACAUUCAUCAUUCAAUAAUUCAAUCAAAUUUCGAGGGUUAGACAUCAACAUUUUCAUCAUUUCCAGCACAAUGCAAUGCACAUUUCAUAUGUUUAACAACAACAGAUUUUGCAUUAUUCGCAACAAUUCAAUCAAAUUUCAUGGGUUUAACAGGAGAGAACAACAUUUAUCCUUAUUCAACAACUCAAUCACAAUUUCAUGGGUUUUAAAAUAAGAGAAAAACCCCAAAAUUUUUUCCCAUCAAAAAAAAUUUUCCCCCCCGCAAUUAAUUCAAUCAAAAUUUCGAUGGUUUUCAAGCUACGAUUAUUCAUCAUCAGAAAAGUCAAUCAAAUUUUCAUGGGUCUUAGAUAAUAAAAAUUUUCAUUAUUGCACCACAAUUCAAAUCACAUUUGGUUUAACAACACAUUGGAGCCAUUCACUUAUUCGAAUCAAUAUGUCAUGUGUUUAACAACAAAAUUUUCAUUGUUGCCCACAAUUCAUCAAAUUUCCGAUGUGUUAAAACAACAAUAUGUUUCAUCAUUCACACAUGUUAAAUCAAAUUUCAUGGGUUUAAGCAACAACAUUUUAGUCAUUCGCAAAAUUCAUCAAUUUUAUGGUUUAAACAACAUUUUCAUCAUCCCACAAUUCCAAUUCAAUUUCAUGUUAAAAACCACAACAAAAGUUUUAGAUCAUAUCACAAUUCAAUCAAAUUUCAUGGGUUUGGAACAAACAAAUUUUUAUCAUUCCCAUAAUUCAAGUCAAAAUUCUGUCGGUUUAAAAAGAGUAACAUUUUUCUCAUCAUUGUACAGAAUUCAACUCACGUUCACGGCUUUAACGACACAUUUGUUAUCAUUCAAACAAAGUCUCAAUCAAAUUUAUGAGUUUAACAACAACAUUUUCAGCAUUCCCACACUUCAAUCAACUUGUCAUGGGUUUAGAGAACAAUAUUUUUUUUUCGUUCACCCAACUCAUAAAUUUCAAGGGUUUAACGACAAUAUUCUGAUCAUUCACAGAAUUCAGUCAAAUUCAUGCGGAUUUAACAGGAACAUGUUCAUCAUUGCCCGACAAUUCAUCAAAUUUCAUUGGGUUUAAACAUCAAUUUUCAGAAUCAGCAAAUUACAAUCACAUUUCAUGAAUUUCAACCACAAAACAUUUUCACAUUGCACAUAAUUCAAUCAAUUGCAUGGGUUGUAAGAACAACAUAUUUAUCGUUCACAAGAACACUCAAUCAAAUUUGAUGCGGUUUAACGACUAUAUUUUCAUCAUUCACAGAAUUCAAUCAAAUUCCAUGGAUUUAAAAGGAACCAUUUGUCAUAUCAAUUCAGCAACAUAUCAAAUCAAAUUUCAAUGGGUUUAAACAAUCAACAUUUUCAAUCAAUUCCACAAUUCAAUCAAAUUUCAUAUGUUUAGCACAACUUUUCAUAUUCCAACAAUUCAGAUCAAAUUUCAUGGGUUAACAACACAUUUUUCAGUUAUUCACACAACCAUAAUCAAAUUUCAUGUGUUUAGAUAGAACAUUUUCAUCAUUCCCAUUAAUUCAAUAAAUUUCAUGGGUUUAUCACUACAUUGUUCAUCAUUCAGGAAAAUUCAAUCAAAAUUUUCAUGGGUUAAUAAUAACAACAUUUUCAUUUCAUUCAACACAUUCAAUCAAAUUCUCUGGGUUUAAAACAACAUUUUAUCAUUCACUUAAUUCAAUCAAAUUUAUGGGUUAAACACAAUUUCAUUAUUCCCACAAUUCAAUCAAAUUUCAUGGUGUUUCAACAACAAUAUUUUCAUUCAUUCACACAAUUUAAUCAAAUUUCAUGGGUUUAACAACAACAUUUUUAUCAUUCCAAAAUUCAAUCAAAUUUAUGGUUUUAACAACAUUUUCAUCACUCACACAAUUCAAUUAAAUUUCAUGUGUUUACAACAACAACAACAUUAUUCAUCAUCACGCAAUUCAAUCAAAUUUCAUGGGUUGACAACAACAUUUUUAUCAUUCACAUAAUUCAAUCAAAUUCUUGGUUUAAAAUAAGACAUUUUCAUAUUCAGAAUUCAAUCAAAUUUCACGGCUUUUAACGACAACAUUUUUAUCAUAUUCAUACAAUACAAUCAAAUUUUAUGAGUUUUAACAACGAUUUUUCAUCAUUCACACAUCAAAUAAAUUUCAGGGGUUUAACAAACAACAUUUCAUUCAUUCACACCAAUUCAAUCAAAUUUGCUUAGGUUUAACAACAACAUUUUUAUUAUUCACAAUGUCAUGCAAAUUUCAUCGGUUUAAGACAACAUUUAUCAUCAAUGCCACAAUAUUAAUCAAAAUUUCAGGAAUUUAACGAGAAAUUUCAUUCAUCACAUUCAAUCAAUAUUCAUUGAGUUUAAAACAACAUUUUCACCAUGUCACACAAUCAAUCAAGAUUGCAUGGUUUAACAACAACAUUUUUCAUCAUGCGCAAGAUUCAUAUCAAAUUAUGAAUUUACAAAGGUACUUUCAUCACAUUCACACACAAUUCAUCAAAUUUCAUGUGUUUACAAUAACAACAUUUUUCAUUACUGCACGAAAUCAAUCAAAUGUCAAUGUUUAACACAACAACAUUUUCAAUUAUUCCACAAUCAUCAAAUUUCAGGUUCAACAACACCAAAUUUUCAUUAUUCACACAAGUCUAUCAAAUCAAUUCAUUGGGUUUAUAAUUCAUUUUCGAUCUUCCCAAAGUUCAAUCAAGUUUCAUGAUUUAAUCAACUACAACUUUAGUCAAUCAUUCAACAUUCAAAUCAAAUCUAUGGUUUAAAACAACUUUUUAUCGUUUCACAUAGAUUCAAUCACAUCUUCGUGGGUUUAACAACAACAUUUUAUCAUCAUCACAUGAAGCUUCAAUCAAAUUUCAUGUGUUUAACAACAACAAUUUCAUUAUUCACAAUUCAUCAAUUCAUGGUUAACAACAUAUUUUCAAUCAUUUCACAAUUAAUCAAAUUUCAUGGUUUACAACAACAACCUUUUUCAUCAGUUCGCACAAAUCAUCAUCAAAUUUAUUGUUUUAACAACAUUUCUCAUCUCACACAAUUCAAUAAAAUUUCAUGGUUUUAACAACAACAACAUUAAUCAUUCACACAAUUCAAUCAAAUUUCAUGGGUUUAACAACAACAUUUAUGUUUAACAUUUUCAUUACAGAGAUUAAAUUCAUGUUAAAAUUUCACAUCAUAUACAUGUUAUGGUUUGAAAAUAAAUUUUCUAUCUUUCACAAUUCAAUCGCUUUUCAUACGGUUUGAGACAACAACAUUUUCAUUAUCAACAAUUCAAUCAAUUUCAUGAGUUUAAACAACAAAAAACAUU
This 24679-nucleotide long non-coding RNA is filed under the name Lathyrus oleraceus (garden pea). RNAcentral describes it as "Pisum sativum (pea) long non-coding RNA (PSAT_LNC039442)". Lineage: Eukaryota; Viridiplantae; Streptophyta; Magnoliopsida; Fabales; Fabaceae. The record is from RNAcentral.